GGCUCAGGAUGAACGCUAGCUACAGGCUUAACACAUGCAAGUCGAGGGGCAUCAUGGAGUUUGCUUGCAAACUCUGAUGGCGACCGGCGCACGGGUGAGUAACGCGUAUCCAACCUUCCCUAUAGUAGAGGAUAGCCCGGCGAAAGUCGGAUUAAUACUCUAUGUUUUCCGUUGCAGACAUCUAAGAUGGAACAAAGGCUUGCCGCUAUAGGAUGGGGAUGCGUCUGAUUAGGUAGUCGGCGGGGUAACGGCCCACCGAGCCUUCGAUCAGUAGGGGUUCUGAGAGGAAGGUCCCCCACAUUGGAACUGAGACACGGUCCAAACUCCUACGGGAGGCAGCAGUGAGGAAUAUUGGUCAAUGGGCGCGAGCCUGAACCAGCCAAGUAGCGUGCAAGGAUGACGGCCCUAUGGGUUGUAAACUGCUUUUAUGCGGGGAUAAAGUUCACUACGUGUAGUGUUUUGUAGGUACCGCAUGAAUAAGGACCGGCUAAUUCCGUGCCAGCAGCUGC
This 509-nucleotide ribosomal RNA is filed under the name uncultured bacterium. Its description in RNAcentral is "bacterial SSU rRNA". It matches the Rfam family "Bacterial small subunit ribosomal RNA", at positions 21 to 518 of the family's 1533-position model. The record is from RNAcentral.